RNAcentral lists this ribosomal RNA (490 nucleotides) under uncultured bacterium. RNAcentral's name for it is "partial 16S ribosomal RNA". It matches the Rfam family "Bacterial small subunit ribosomal RNA", at positions 30 to 507 of the family's 1533-position model. The record is from RNAcentral.
AUUGAACGCUGGCGGCAGGCCUAACACAUGCAAGUCGAACGGUAACAGGAAGACGCUUGCUUCUUUGCUGACGAGUGGCGGACGGGUGAGUAAUGUCUGGGAAACUGCCUGAUGGAGGGGGAUAACUACUGGAAACGGUAGCUAAUACCGCAUAACGUCGCAAGACCAAAGAGGGGGACCUUCGGGCCUCUUGCCAUCGGAUGUGCCCAGAUGGGAUUAGCUAGUAGGUGGGGUAACGGCUCACCUAGGCGACGAUCCCUAGCUGGUCUGAGAGGAUGACCGGCCACACUGGAACUGAGACACGGUCCAGACUCCUACGGGAGGCAGCAGUGGGGAAUAUUGCACAAUGGGCGCAAGCCUGAUGCAGCCAUGCCGCGUGUAUGAAGAAGGCCUUCGGUUUGUAAAGUACUUUCAGCGGGGAGGAAGGGAGUAAAGUUAAUACCUUGGCUCAUUGACGUUACCCGCAGAAGAAGCACCGGCUAACUCCGUG